Molecule: long non-coding RNA, 4501 nt
Organism: Leopardus geoffroyi (Geoffroy's cat)
Lineage: Eukaryota; Metazoa; Chordata; Mammalia; Carnivora; Felidae
Exons: 4
Source: RefSeq, a predicted model, not a curated record
UCUGUGAGGGGUGACGGAGGAAGUCCAGUGGCACACAUGCUGUCUCUUUGACGUUCUUAUACUAUAUGACAUUGCCUCCCCAGAGGUAGAGUGCAACAGAGACAAAGGACCAAAAAAAAAAAGAGAGUGAGAAAAAGUAGGAGGUGGCUGCCUUUCUGGCCCUUGUCACACCCUGUGGCUGCAUUUGUGUUUUCUUGGCAGUGGGAGGUACAGGUGGGAACACCUCUACCUACAGGCUUGUUUGCAGGGUAGAAUGCAAUCAGAGGUAGGAGCUAGCAUGAGAACUCUUGCAAACAGAGGUUGCCAGUGCUGCUUCUUGAGCGGAGUUCAUGAUGACUGGGGGGACUUCAGGUCAUCUGAUACUUCCGUGGGACUGUAAUACCUCUACGCAAAGACGCUGUUAUUCCUUCCCAAAGGCCCUGCGGGGGAAGAAGGACCAUCAGAGGUUGGAGGAAGGUGACAUUCAAGCUGCUGAGCUAGAGUUUGAGGAUUGACACCUGGUUGUGGACAGAGAAAAGAUCGACACCUCCAUAGUGGUUGUUCACGGAAGAAGUGCUCUGAGAGAGACAGUAUUAUCCAGGAACAAUCUGUAGCUCUUCUGAUGUUUUGCUGAAGGACCUGGAGCCCCCUCUCUGGAGGAAUCUGAUCUGACUGCCUCCAGCUGCUCACGGGUGUACCCUAUCCUAUUGGUUGAAGCUUUGAUGGUAGUUCUGUUAGUGGCUCUAUUUUUGUUGUUAUAGAAGCCCAAUUCUAGCUGUCUUACCAGGAGGGGAGUCCAGGAUGGAGAGCAGGUAUGACUGGAGUCAGAAUUUUGAAGGAUGUUGUUUCUGUUUGCCUGUCUGUCUCUGUCUCUCUCCCCUUCUCUGGGCUGGCCUCAUUCCCUCCCACUUGGUGGGAUCCCUUCACAUGGUCAGGAGAGGUGUCUUCUCUUGAAUUUUAUGUGUGUGUUCUGAGGGACAGAAAUCCUCCGUUGUCUGGGUUGUUGCUAAUCUGGAUGGAUGAAGCCUAGAGCUGCCUGUGGCUGUUUCCUGAUAUGUGAGGCCGUUCUAACCCAGUGGAGAGAGAGGACUGCUCUCUCCUAACACUCUUACGUUGAUCCCAGAGAAACAUCAGGCUUGGCUUGAGUCACAUCAGGUCAGUCAACUACUGCAUCCAGUGGAAGAAAGUAUGAGGAGGGGCCAGAGCAUUUACAUGGCACCCUAUGUGUAGCAGUCUGUACUUGAUGUUCACAGGAAACGUGCGGAAAGAGUGUAAGGAAGACAAACCAACAGAGAACUGUGUCAUCGUUCAGACUCAUUGUUUUUCUAGCCCAGGGUUUUCACUGGGCAGGUUAAUUGGGAUUUUUAUUUCUGUUGUUCAUGCCAUGUCCUUUCCAGUGCUUUUGUAUCUGUAAUAAGGCAAGGACUUGUUUUCAUUAAAAUCUGAUUCUUUUAACCCUUCCUCUUCAGUCAUUGUUUCCCUGUAAUUCAAAAACAUGCAGGUAUCUUCACAUUUAUCACCACACUUCUCAGAUGAGGAGGUUUACCUUUGAAAGCUCCCUUUCUUGACCAGUUAAGAUGUUAAGUCCCUUUACAUAUCAUGUCUGGACACAGGCCUCCACUGCUGACUCUUGCAGGGCAUGGGCGCCCCCUGGGCUGCUGAAUCCCUUAUCCUUUCUUGGCCGUGGUCUCCUGGCUGCCACAGAAUAAUGUGUAAGCUUACUUUCAAGCGCUGUCUCCAUUUUGGGAGCAAAGAAUGUCCUCAUGAAGGACCUGGAAAAACUAUUUCCCUUUUUGGCACUUCUGCCCUUUUAUGCAGUCUGGUUUUGUUCUCUGUGUAUAAAUAGAGGAGGGACUCAUUGUUUGCGCCUCCACCUUUUAGCUGGGCUAUAUUUUGCCUUUGGCUGGCAGGGCAAACUUUGGAAUAAGACAAACUUGGGUUCACAUCCCAACUUCACUAUUCACUUGCUGAGGGGCCUUCAGUGAGAUGGGCUUUUCAAAAUAUCUUUCAGCAUCGGUUCCCUCUCCUAUAAAUGGAGGGAAACAAUGGUGCCUGCCUCAUAGGGUGGCCAUAUUGCUUCAUGAGUCACAUGGACCCACAAAGCCCAGCACCCAGUAGAUGUUCAGUAGAUGUGAAUUCUCUUCCUCCCCGCAAAGACACUUGAUUUGUUUUCUGUCACCCUAGGCAUUAGCUCUGCACUGACUCACCACAUCUAUAUAUCCCAUAAAAGUUGCCAGUCCAUGGACUAUUUUUAAAUAUAUUCAUGUUUUCCAUAUUCUAAAGAAGCUGGCCAUUAGGAAUAAUCUUAAAGGUAGUUACUCUUUGGUAAAGGCCUUCCCUACUUUUUUCUUCUGUAUAGAAAUAGCUUUUCCUUUUAUUCUUUCUGGUGUAACAGAGAUUUCUCCCCCCUCCCCCAUCCUGUUUAGCAUCUGCUUCAUUUGCCCAUUGAAAGAACACACUCUCUUCUUUACAGAACUGUUCCUCUUUCACCUCUGGUUGGGGUGGGCUGAGGGGUAUCAUGUGACCAAGACUGGACCAGUCGUCAUAUGUCAUACCCCUUGCCACAGUGAUUGGCUCAGUGGUGGCCCUGUGACCCAAGUUUGGUCCUUCCCUUGAGUUUUACCCGCGGGGUCUGGGACAGCAAAAUCCUCUUUCUCUGUGUAUGUUGCUAAUCUGGGUUGAUGAAGCCUGGAGGUGCCUCUGCCAUGCCUUCUGCUGUGUGGACAGACCUCUUUCAUCUCAAGAAAGAAUGAGUCCAACACAUGGAGAGAAGCAGAGAGCUAAGAUAUGGGGUGAGAAGGGAGCAGGGGAAGGAGGCCAAGAGAGAUGCUCUUGUCAUUUGAUUUCCUGGGGAUAGCUGUAGUCUCUCACAGCCAGUGAGUUCUGACUUUUCCUUAAGCCAGAUUGGGUUCAGCUUCUGUUCCUUGAAGUCAAAGAUUCUAAUAAAUGUGUUGGUAUAUUUAAGGUAAUGGCCCCCUUAUAAAUGAGAGUUGUGUUUAUGUCACAACAAAAUCCUGACAGCUAAUCUAAGCUGCUAAUAUGGCACAAGAGUCAUACACUGAAUUCUUACAGAGGGCAAAAUUAUCUGGGGUUAUGGAACCCCUCCCAGUUUUGUACCACUGGGACCUGCCAUAGUACCAUGGGACCUGGCACAUAGAAAGCCUCAAUCUCUACUCAGUGAAGUAGGGUAGUGAGGGAGGAUCUAACUGGUUCAGGUGGUCAGUCAUCCUCUAGUCCAGGGGGGUCCCAUCGGCUAGGCAGUGGCUCCCACACAGGCCUCAGUUAGCCCACAGCCUGGGUCUCUGUGGGUCAGGCCAGAUGUGGGUAGGGAUCCACGAUGCAGAAAAUCACUUCUUUUGCGUUAAGAGUUCUUUAAUUUGACUGGGUAUGGCAAGUUCUCUGAGUCUCACAAAGGGGACCAAAUAGCAGCUGGGCACUUAACGUGGCUUGCCCAGACCAUUUGAAUCCUCCCAUUAGAGCCCUCAGUGAAGGAUUUGGAAAGCUACUGGGGGAAUUCCAGAAAAAGACAAACUACUCCUGUCCUGCUGAGGGUCUCCCCUUGAGCUUCUCUUCCAGAGGAGCGCUGUGACCCCAGACAAAGAGAGGAGUUCUGGGAAGCUACGGGAGCCUGCACAACUGCCAAAGAAUGGCUGACUCCAGAGCGACCGACCGAGGCCUGCUGGUUCUUAGACUCUUGUGGAUAGGAGCUGGCACAGAAGGGGAAUUUGACACAUGUUUAUUGAAUGAAUGGUCAGUGAGAAGUAUGAGUUCUGGGGAGGGAAUAUGCUACUUCUACAGGCAUGGAUCAAGCACCACUGAGAUCAUGAGUGAACACCAUGAAGAGUAAAUACCAUGCGGAUCUCAUGUUUUCAGGACCCCAAGUGUCCAGUGACUAGAAUGAUACACACAAAGUAACAUGGCAAAGAUUCAGCAGAAGGAGAAACUGGGUACCACUGAGACACCCUCCCUGACCAGAAUCACGGUUGGUCACUGGUCACUGGUCACUUCCUCAGCCCACCUGUGGCUCUAAUUCCCACAGCAUCCUUCCCUUGGGGGGCUUUGGCCUCUGGGAAGACAUGAAUGUGGCCCUUGAGAGAGCCCUGCAUUCUUGCACAGGUGAUCACCCCAUCCAAUUCAAUGUGAACUCAAGUAGAAAGGAUUGUGACCUUUCCAGAGGCCAGAAUCAUUGUUCUAGAACUGGAAGGGGACACGGCAGUUCUUUGGCCUGGUUCUAAUCUUCUGUCUGAAGAAAUCAUUGUAGUGGGGUGCGACUAUUCUAAUGCCUGGCCCCAGAAUUCUCUUCUGGAGGAGAACUGUCUUGAGACCCUGAGGGCGAAGUUGGCAAGAGACAAAAUGAUGAAGAGAGAACUGGUGUCUUGUGCAUAAAAAUAAAUAGGGACUUUGGGUGAGAGACUCUGAAGGAGAGGAAGUACAGGAGGAGGGGACUUCUCAGGGGGAAAUGAAACUUGAAACUUAUACUUGUGGAAAUUUUAAGAACAAGGAUGUCUAAUUUUUGAUUGCA